UGGGGAAUCUUCCACAAUGGGCGCAAGCCUGAUGGAGCAACACCGCGUGAGUGAAGAAGGGUUUCGGCUCGUAAAGCUCUGUUGUUAAAGAAGAACACGUAUGAGAGUAACUGUUCAUACGUUGACGGUAUUUAACCAGAAAGUCACGGCUAACUACGUGCCAGCAGCCGCGGUAAUACGUAGGUGGCAAGCGUUAUCCGGAUUUAUUGGGCGUAAAGAGAGUGCAGGCGGUUUUCUAAGUCUGAUGUGAAAGCCUUCGGCUUAACCGGAGAAGUGCAUCGGAAACUGGAUAACUUGAGUGCAGAAGAGGGUAGUGGAACUCCAUGUGUAGCGGUGGAAUGCGUAGAUAUAUGGAAGAACACCAGUGGCGAAGGCGGCUACCUGGUCUGCAACUGACGCUGAGACUCGAAAGCAUGGGUAGCGAACAGGAUUAGAUACCCUGGUAG
RNAcentral lists this ribosomal RNA (446 nucleotides) under uncultured bacterium. Its description in RNAcentral is "bacterial SSU rRNA". It matches the Rfam family "Bacterial small subunit ribosomal RNA", at positions 355 to 793 of the family's 1533-position model. The record is from RNAcentral.